CCUACGGGGAGCAGCAGUGGGGAAUAUUGGACAAUGGGCGAAAGCCUGAUCCAGCCAUGCCGCGUGUGUGAAGAAGGCCUUCGGGUUGUAAAGCACUUUCAGUGGGGAAGAAAGCCUUGGGGCUAAUACCCUCGAGGAAGGACAUCACCCACAGAAGAAGCACCGGCUAACUCCGUGCCAGCAGCCGCGGUAAUACGGAGGGUGCGAGCGUUAAUCAGAAUUACUGGGCGUAAAGCGCGCGUAGGCGGUCUGAUAAGCCGGUUGUGAAAGCCCCGGGCUCAACCUGGGAACGGCAUCCGGAACUGUCAGGCUAGAGUGCAGGAGAGGAAGGUAGAAGUCCCGGUGUAGCGGUGAAAUGCGUAGAGAUCGGGAGGAAUACCAGUGGCGAAGGCGGCCUUCUGGACUGACACUGACGCUGAGGUGCGAAAGCGUGGGUAGCAAACAGGAUUAGAUACCCCAGUAGUC
This 465-nucleotide ribosomal RNA is filed under the name Vreelandella stevensii. RNAcentral describes it as "partial 16S ribosomal RNA". It matches the Rfam family "Bacterial small subunit ribosomal RNA", at positions 338 to 795 of the family's 1533-position model. The record is from RNAcentral. Lineage: Bacteria; Pseudomonadati; Pseudomonadota; Gammaproteobacteria; Oceanospirillales; Halomonadaceae.